CAAAGGUAGCAUAAUCAUUAGUUCUUUAAUUGGGAACUGGAAUGAAGGGUUGGACAAAGGAAAAACUGUCUUUAAAAUAUAAAUUGAAAUUUACUUUUAAGUGAAAAGGCUUAAAUAUUUCAAGGGGACGAUAAGACCCUAUAAAGUUUUAUAUAUUAUUUAGAUUUAGUUUAUUUAUAAAAUAAAGGUUAAGUUUAAGUUAUAUAUUUUGUUGGGGCGAUAUGAGUAUAAUUUAUAUUAACUGCUUAAAGUGAAUACAAUUAUAAGUGAUUAUGUGAGUAUAUGAUCCUAAUUAAAGAUUAAAAGAUUAAGUUACUUUAGGGAUAACAGCGUUAUUUCUUUUGAGAGUUCAUAUCGAAAAAGAAGUUUGCGACCUCGAUGUUGAAUUAAAAUGUCUAUAUAAUGCAGCCGUUAUAUAAGAAGGUCUGUUCGACCUUUAAAUUUUUACAUGAUUUGAGUUC
This 461-nucleotide ribosomal RNA is filed under the name Medaeops granulosus. RNAcentral describes it as "partial 16S ribosomal RNA". It matches the Rfam family "Bacterial large subunit ribosomal RNA", at positions 1951 to 2612 of the family's 2925-position model. The record is from RNAcentral. Lineage: Eukaryota; Metazoa; Arthropoda; Malacostraca; Decapoda; Xanthidae.